RNAcentral lists this ribosomal RNA (492 nucleotides) under uncultured bacterium. RNAcentral's name for it is "partial 16S ribosomal RNA". It matches the Rfam family "Bacterial small subunit ribosomal RNA", at positions 29 to 507 of the family's 1533-position model. The record is from RNAcentral.
AGUGAACGCUGGCGGUAGGCCUAACACAUGCAAGUCGAACGGCAGCACAGUAAGAGCUUGCUCUUACGGGUGGCGAGUGGCGGACGGGUGAGGAAUACAUCGGAAUCUACUUUUUCGUGGGGGAUAACGUAGGGAAACUUACGCUAAUACCGCAUACGACCUGCGGGUGAAAGCAGGGGAUCUUCGGACCUUGCGCGAUUGAAUGAGCCGAUGUCGGAUUAGCUAGUUGGCGGGGUAAAGGCCCACCAAGGCGACGAUCCGUAGCUGGUCUGAGAGGAUGAUCAGCGACACUGGAACUGAGACACGGUCCAGACUCCUACGGGAGGCAGCAGUGGGGAAUAUUGGACAAUGGGCGCAAGCCUGAUCCAGCCAUACCGCGUGGGUGAAGAAGGCCUUCGGGUUGUAAAGCCCUUUUGUUGGGAAAGAAAAGCAGCAGGUUAAUACCCCGCUGUUCUGACGGUACCCAAGGAAUAAGCACCGGCUAACUUCGUG